This 1319-nucleotide unclassified non-coding RNA is filed under the name Hevea brasiliensis (rubber tree). Lineage: Eukaryota; Viridiplantae; Streptophyta; Magnoliopsida; Malpighiales; Euphorbiaceae. The record is from RNAcentral.
UAAUGAGACAAAAAUUAUCUAAAAACAAAAUAUAAUAAUUAAAACCAGUGAAAAAAAAAUGAAACUACAAAGUCCCAUACCUCCUGAAUUAAAUAAGAAAAAAUAUUCUAUAAAUCAAGAGUUAGUACUUAAAAAAGAAAGCUAAUACCUAAAUAAGAAAGCUAACUUGUUUUCUUAAUAGACAAUCAUGAUGAAAAUCAUAGCUACCAUUAUUAGAGUUAUAAUUUUUAUUCAAAUCUGAAGAACAAUAUUAAUUACGUGUGUAUGGCCGUGUAUACGGUGCUCCAUCACAAAGGUAAGUGCUAUCAAUGCUUAACCAUAUGUUUUCCACUUCCAAAUUCCCUCGUAGGACUUCAACAAUCUGCAUCAAAUAGUUAUGAUAAUGGUGGAACUAAUGGUUUAACCUAUAAAUUAUUCUUUGUCCCAUUAAAAUAGUCUAACUAGCUAUUUAGUAAUAAAUGAAAAACAAAAAUGCUUGAAAGAUUGGUUCAUGAAAUCUAAAUAAAACUAGUAAAGCAAAUAUGUAAUCCUUUUGAAUUUACAUACCUGGCUCAUUCGUGGACGAUAAUUUGCGAGUUUGUACACGCAUGAUGCGGCACAAUAAAUCAUUCUAAUCAUUUCAUCCUCAUUAUAGCCUUUCAAUUCUUCAUCAAUAAUAUUACUAUAAUUAUUUAUCAUCAAAGCUUUUCUGAGUCGAGGUGCCACCCAAAUGGACAAGUUAGUGUCAACACCGUCUUUGUUUUCAACAGCUUGCUUGCCAGUAAUCAAUUCCAGAAGUACAAUACCAAAGGAAAAAACAUCGGACUUAUCAGUAGGUUGCUUAUCUUUGAUAUACUCAGGCGCUAAACAACAUAAAGUUCCUUUCAAACUAUCAACAGCAGAAUUAUAAGACCUAAAAGGGUGCAAAUUCUCUUUGGCUAAUCUACAAUCUGAAAUCUUUGGUUCAAACCUUUCAUCAAGAAGAAUGUUAUUCACCUUGAUAUUUCCAUGUAUGACUUUACAGUAUUCAUGUAAAAAUGCUAAUCCUUUUGCAGAACCUAUGGCAAUUUUCAUUCUGGUUGACCAAUUGAUAGUUACUUUGUUUUUUCCUGCAAUUGAUGACAUGUUGUACAUAAUUUUUCUUUUUUUUAUUGGAUAUAUAUAAAAGCGAGAGUGUUAGGGUUUGUAAAAACCUAACUUAAGAAGAAAAAAAAUCUAUCACAUGAUUAUUAUGUGUGUGUUGUGUGUGUGUGUGUGUAUAUGUAUGUUAAAAAUAGUAAGGCUCACCAUGUAGUCGAGACCGCAAGGAGUAGGGAAAAAACUCAUAAACAAGCAAUCUA